Cavia porcellus (domestic guinea pig) is the source of this 1436-nucleotide long non-coding RNA. RefSeq lists it as uncharacterized. The transcript has 5 exons. NCBI's taxonomy places the organism in Eukaryota, Metazoa, Chordata, Mammalia, Rodentia, Caviidae. The record is from RefSeq and is a predicted model, not a curated record.
ACUAACUGAUUUGCAGGGCUGAAGCCUGUGAUGAGGAUAGGAAGCACAGCUGCUCCGGCCACCAAACCCAGUUAUUUUUAUUGUUUCUUGCUUUUCAUACUUGUUAUGUUCCAGGGCAACUCUCCAUCCUCUGACAGCCUUGGAACCAGAGAAUCUGAGAAUGGAAAGAGUCCGCAGGGGCACUUGUUCUCAGUAGAAGAUGGGAAGGAAAGCAGCCCUAUGCAAGUGUCUCAGAUGAGACUGGCAGCAAAUCAGUCCAUCCCCAGAGAACUUGGACUGCGAGAGGGCACAAGAGCCCUGUAGGUGCUGCCCUAUGCCAGCUUGCAAAACACCUAAUCAUUCAGGUGUAUUCCAGUGCUGGAAAGGCUCUGCAGACUCCAUUCAACUCUCAGUCACUGACCAGAUCACUAUGUGCAGUUAAUACAUGAACAAGUAAACAAACCCAUGAGCGAACAAAGGGCUGAAUUAGCUGGGGAGUGAAAACACAGAACAACUGAGGAAUUCACGAGUCAUCCUUGUAAGCUGUCUGCUCCUGUCCAGGUCUGGGAAGAGAGGAGAGGAAGGCCCCGCACUCUUUGUUACCCAGACCAUAGUUAAUGCCAUUCAGCCCAGGCUGUAAAAGAGACCUUCUUAAGGUAGAACCCAAGGCUCAUGAAAGGCAUGAGAGGUUCAUGCUUUUGCUGUUUGCAGCCUCCACGAAUGGCCUUUGUGCUGUGUCACACUGCCUUGGAACCAACUGAGUAUGGACUGAAACCUCCAAGAAUUCCAAAUAUGAUCUUCAUCACAUGCACUGAGGGCUUUCUGACAUUGACUCCUCCCUGUCAGGCUAGAGAGCUCCUUCUGCUUCAUUUGCACACGUUGGAUCCUAACUGAUGUCAAGGUCAACCCAAGUGCUACCCAUGUCAUGAUGUCCUCCAAUGAAAAGCCAUUUGGUCCUUCCAAACAGUUAUAGACUUUUUGGUGUUAUCAAUCUUAUGAUAUUCUUUGCAUUUUGUAUUUUAUUUCUUAAUUCUGUAUGUAUGUUUCAUCUUUUCUAGAAGAUUUAAAUGUUCUUAGAGGAGGAUUUUUCCUUUUUUAUGUAAAGGAAAAAAAAACUCUAAAUGUCACCUACAAUUGUGCUUGCACAGAAAGAGGAUUUUAACACUAAUUUUUUUCUUUUGCUGCUUUCAGUAUUUUGAAUUUUCACCGACUGCUACAUAAACAUGAGAACUCUUUUAAUAUUUGUAACUAAAUUAUUAGGACACUGACCUUCCUGAUGAUGGAAACUAAUUUGCAUUUUGGGAUGAUUUGCAUAAACUAUCAGGUGGAAUUUCAGUUUUUAAUUAAUGAGAAAUGAGUCCCAAUAAAUAAAGUAGAGAGAAAUGACAGAAUUGGGCAGGCAUAUCAUCUCUUAUUAAAAAGACAAACAAAAUACAAUAAAAAGCAUAAUGUGACAA